Coturnix japonica (Japanese quail) is the source of this 7490-nucleotide non-coding RNA. The record is from RefSeq and is a predicted model, not a curated record. NCBI's taxonomy places the organism in Eukaryota, Metazoa, Chordata, Aves, Galliformes, Phasianidae.
UCACAUCCCCGCCCCGUGCCGCCCUGCGCUGCGCGGGGGUUGCGCGGGGCUUUGCGCUCCGCUCGGCUCCCUGCGCCGCUCCGCUUUGUACGUGCGGCCGCUGCGCGGAAAGUGCGCGGAGCAGCGCGGAGCGGGGCCGCCAUGGCGUGGCCCUGCAUCACCCGCGCCUGCUGCAUCGCCCGCUUUUGGAACCAGCUGGAUAAAGCCGAUAUCGCCGUCCCUUUGGUUUUCACCAAAUAUUCCGAAGCCACCGAGCAGCCCCUCCCCACGCAAAUCCCGCGCAGCGCGGCGGCGCCCAUCGAUACCCAACCCGGCGGAGAUGCCGCGGCUGCGGGAGGGGGGGACGCGGCUCCCGGUCCCGCACGGCCCGGAACGGCCCCGCACGGCUCCCCGCCCGCGGACUCGGUGAUGCGACACGACUACAAACCAUGGAAGGUGCAACGCCCCGAACCCAGCUGCAAACCCAAAAGCGAGUACCAGCCGUCCGAUACGCCCUUCGAGAAGGAGACGCAGUACCAAAAGGAUUUCCGCGCUUGGCCCAUCCCUAAAAGAGGGGACCACCCGUGGAUCCCCAAACCGGGUCCUUCCCCCGUGCUCGGCCCUGAGCGCGGAUCUCCCGAGAAAGCGGCUCAGGAGAAGAGGAGGAAGAAGGAGGAGGAGGUGGAAGCGGACGACGAGCAUCCCAAGGCGGCCCGGCCCGGGGAUGGCCGAGAGAAGGGGAGGCAGAGGGGCGAUGAGGCGGGCGGGCAGGAGGGCCGGGGUCGGGCGGCCGCCGAUGCUCUCAACCGGCAGAUCAAGGAGGAGGUGGUGGCGGCGGGGGUCAGCUCGUCCUACAGAAACGAGUUCAGACCUUGGAUAGACGUCAAGCCCGUGAAGGCUAUAAAAGCAAAGGCUCAGUACAAGCCUCCAGAUGAGAAAAUGACCCAUGAAACCAGUUACAGCGCUCAGUUCAAGGGGGAAACCAGUAAGCCUGCUCCAGCUGAUAACAAAUUCCUGGAGCGCAGAAGGAUACGCACUCUCUACAGUGAACCUUACAAAGAACCUCCAAAGGUGGAAAAGCCUAGCGUAAAGCCUUCCAAACCAAAAAAGACCACAACAAGCCAUAAACCCCUGAAAAAGGCCAAAGACAAGCAGAUUGCAUCUGGACGGGCUGCCAAGAAAAAGAGCGCCGAGACCUCCAACACAACAAAGCCAGAGGACAAGGAGAAAAGUAAAGAGAUGAACAAUAAACUGGCUGAGGCAAAAGAGUAAAUGUCACUGCACUUUCCUUUCUUUCUCUUUUUUCUUUUCCUUCUUCCUUUCCUUUUAUUUUUUUUUUCUUUUUCUUUUUCCUUUGAUUAAAUAAAGGCCACAAAAUUAAUUAGAGGCUUCUAAUCUGCUUUUUGUUCUGACUGUAUUAGAAGCUUUUCUGUUUUAUUUCCAAGGAGGAUUAGCGAAUCCUUGUUUCUGAGGUCAGGUUGUUCUGCUUUGCCUGCACAACACGGCUCUGCACAGAGUGAGGAUGAGCGCAGGAGGGAUGUGGGAAUGCAUGAGGAUUGUAGGAGAGGGAGGUUAUGGGUCAGCCGCCAUUGUGUGCAAUAGCCUGUCCCUGCCCUUGGUCCUUCAGUGCCCAUCGUGCUGCCAAGGGGCUGUGCUCUCAUCCCACAAGGCCCUUUUUGGGGUUAGGCUUGGUCAUCUCCCACUGGUGUCAGCAGGCCUUUGAACAUGGAGAGGACCUGUGGAUUUGCCGUCAGUCCAUUAGAACUGGUGACAUGGCCAAGAGCCAUUUCUCCUGCUGACACUAGUUGGAAUUUUGCUCCAGCAAUGGGGAAGGAGAUCCCAUUGCAAAUAAAGAGCCAAAUUAUCCCCUGGUAUAGCUGUGGUAGAUGUUGCAUCAGGGCAGCUUUGCUCAUCAUAAUCACUUGAAGGCCUUGAUACAAGAUAGGAGUGAGGGAAGGCAUGGAGGUCAGUUGGAGACUUCCCAAGUGUGUGGCUGGUCAGACCAGGUUACCUGCAGGCAGUUCUUCCCAAUUGUUUAGCUUAGGAUGUGCAUCUUUUUGAUUGUCUCUGGUUUGUUUUGUAUCUUGGUCUGUUUUCUUUACUUCUGGAGUGCCAGUAGCCAGAGCUAGAUUCCAGAACAAGGUUUCGUUUGCAGAUGUGGCUUUCCAAAGGGUAGAAAGGAAUGACUCUCCAAGGUUGGCUGGAGCCAACAGACUCUGUUAUUUUGACUCUGGCUGUUGGAGCUCAUGUUGGCUUGCAAGCAACCUACCAGGACCAUAAACCAGUUACUGGGAUCCUCAGAGUGCCUUCAAGCAGGAUCUCAGGUUUUUAGUGCUAUUUACUGUUCCCAGCAAGGCUAGUCUGGAAGCUGUAUGCAGAGCGGGACCAUUUGUUUGUGAGUAUGAAGUAAUGCUGGUGGGCCAGACUGGCAUAGCAUAAUCCAGAAUUUGGGCCGUAGAGCCAUUGGGAGCCGGAUGAGGUGUGGUCCCAAUCCAAAUCUGCAUGCGUAACUCUUGGAUUUGGUUCUAAUUAUAUCAGGAUUAACUCUGAUCUGAUCAAGCUGAGCUGUGAAACUCUCCCGUGGCAACUGCACAGAGAGGGUGCAAGUCGAGAUGCACGGUCAUUCUUUGUUUUUGCAGUUCUACGUUUCCAUGCAGAAGCUUUCAUAGAGCAGACAAUUGGGAAGAACAAAUAGAGAGGGAUGGGAAGUGGGGCUGGGUGGUGAUAGAAGAGGAAUUUCAGAACUGUGUUGCAGUAGAGGUGUUGGAGUGAGGAAAGUCUUGCUGCUAGGAUAUCUUAGAGAUGUGAAACUAUCCAGUAGGAAAAUAAAUGGGCUGAGAGGGUAAAGAGUCUCAGUUUUGGAAUCUCACCCUAUUAGAAAUGGAUCUUUUGGAAGUGCGUGUGAGUGAUGGGCUACGAGGCUGAGAGAAAGUUUCCAAGGAGGAGGUAAGCUCUGUGGUAUACAGAUAGUGACAUUUGCUGGCCUUAGUAAUGAAUAAAUGCCAAGUUCAGUGUAUCGUGUGAUGUGUCCUGUUUGCCUUGCGCUAACAGCCUGAAGCUUUGAGUAUAAGUAAGUGUAGUGUUCUGAAUUCAGUGGUGUAUUUCCAAGCUUAGCUGUGUUAGAACUGUGUGCUAUGAGCUAGUCAGGUUGUGUAUGUGGAAAAUAUAUAUUCAUAUAUAGAAAUAUAUAUAUUUAAGCCUCCGAUAUUUAGGAGGAAACCAGGGAAAUCCUCCAGGAAGUAAAACUGUGGAAAUCUUUGCGAAUGUAAUGCAUUUUUUAUGUGCAUGCUCCAUGGAGACGCUGACCUGUCCAUAGCGGCCAUUGCUUUUCUGAAUGCUCAGAAUCCCCCACAGCACUGCUGGAGUGCAAAGCUCAGCUCUGCCCGCAGAGCAGCUCAGCAAAAGGCUUGCAUUGAGCUUGCAGAGGGGAGUGCUUUCCUCAGCCCUUCCCAACCCAUCACAUUAGGGACAGCUGGCCAGAGGAGCCCGAGCUUCCAGGGCUCUGUGUGGUUUCCUGGCAUUUAGAUGCUCACAUUUAGAUCUUCAAACUCUACAAUAAAGUCCAUUCUUGUCUCAGGAUGUAGCAACAGCUGUGAAGAUGACGUGUCACAGCAGGCAGAAAAUGUCAGGAAAGCGUGUAGACAGUCAUCAAUAGCCCACCACGCCAUAAGAAAAGACCAUGCAAAACCAUUUUUUGCCCCUGAGUGUCACAUUGGAAGAAAUAGUGCAGCUACCACCACUUUGAUUUGAAUUCAAUGGAAACUUACCCCUUGAUUCAACGGGGACCAAAUUUUGCCCAAAGGACUGUCAGUGAGAGCCAUGCUCAGACCACCUACUGCAAACAUAUCCACGGUCUGGAUCAACUGCUUGAUAUCCUGGUCUUCAGGAUUGUUUCUUCACAAUGAACAGCAUCCAUCGUGGUGUUUGCAUUAAAUAUGCACAGCGAGUGGUCAGAAUAUGGCCUCACGUUUCCUUAAUACAUGAUGGUUUGGGUGGCAUCCAACUACAAAGCUAGAUGUGAAGGGUUAGCCAGCCAGAGCUCCUACAGUGGAGACACCUUCCAAGAGCCAUUGAUCCACGUGCUCUGGACACCUCUUUGGGUGGGAUGAACGACCCUUGGAAGGCUUCCAUUAUUGCAGAAUUAAACUGAGAGACUCUCAGGGCCUCCAUCUCCGAUAGCCACAAAGUGGAGCUAUAAAUUCUGUCCGUUGCUCCCAGGUCUUUAGCACACAUCUGAGAACAGAGUUUAGAUGUAUGUUCAAUGCCAGGAACAGCAGCAGUCAGGCCUCAGGCUGAAAUCCCACAUUGCUCAACCUUCCGCUGACUUCACACCCAUCCGACCCACUCAGGUUUAUCAGAAGCGAGACCAAAUCUCUGCCGUUUCAAGUUCACUUUGGACUCUGAGCUUGUCAAUCCCAUGGGGAAAGAGUGCUCUGCUGUUCUGUGUUUCCAGCUACCGCGAUGCUGAUUCUGUUUCACCGCUAACUUGUAAUAUGUUUUGCUUUCCUUGUAAAAAGACAAAGAACCCAAUGUCAUGCUUUCUACCCUGUGAAAGUUCCUAUGCUGUCGGUUGCUUGCUUUCUCAUUUUCACUGUAUUGUACUGUUACUCCUUUUCUGCAAAAUGGUGCUAAUUGCUUACUGAGCUCCUGUUUUCUGACUGCUUUGCACACCGAUCACCUGCUUCUUCAUUUGCAACGCGUCUGCUGAGAAAACAUGGCUCCCAUGAAUUCCACAAACUCUUGCCUCUUGGAGGCAGAUAGGAAGUGUCUAAUUAAUAUUUUGUGGCCUGGGUUUGGUUGCGUAUCACAGAUUGUCUCUUGUAACAUGUGAAGCACACCUCCUCGUGGUGCUUUUUCAUUCUUGCUGUUCGUAUGAGAAUGACACACACACACACACACACACCCAAACACACAAAUUAAUGUAUAGCCAAUUGAUUGUGACGUGCUUGUGAUCUUUGCUUGCUCAAAGGGUUUUUUUUUUCCAAUGAUAAAUAAAUGCUAAAGACAAAUACCACCUCCUUGAUCUUGUUUUCUCAAUAAGAAGCACAGUUAAGUGAAAUACCUUUCCAACCAUAAUCAGAUUUGUGUUGCUAGAGCCACCACUUCCAUGCCUGCCAUAGGGACAACUGAGCUGUUGCAGCCUGGCUCCCUUUAGAAAGCUGCUACCCUCAGCCUAGCCUGACCCGAGAGCUAAACGUUUGCAAGGGUGAAGAUGGACAGUGAAGUCGUGUGGACGGAGCAGGUAGUUUGCUUUCAUUUUCUCUGUACCCAUGGCGUGUCGAGCAGAGGGUUUGUUUGGUGAGUGCCGUACAUGCACGCUUGUGUCCGCAUUGCAUUGCAUCAGGGAGCAGAAACCACCAGGAGCUGGAGGGAGGGGAGAUGCUGUGGCCGUGUGGGAUUUAAUGACUUGCCUCUUCCCAACUGCCUACAGCUUUUGCUAGUGCCCCAGACCACCUGAAGGACCCAUAAGGGGCUGAAAGGCUGUAAGUCUUUGCUGAAGGUGAUGGGAAAUGCUUGGGUUGAGCCCUUUCAGCAUAUGACAAGCCUAGCCACCUCUGGUCAGGCACUUGGCAGCCUCUGUGGAAAUGCAAAGUGCUGAUGGGUGUACAAAUGGCAGUGCUGACUGUAUGGAUAAAGUGUUGACUGAGAGGAAAACAGGACUGAGGGUGCAGCUCGGUUUCAAAUGGUGAAGUCUGCUCUUAGAUUCAUCUAUUUUUUUUUCCCUUACCUGUAAGCUCCUACCUGCAGUUUUUAUUUUUAGCCAUGUUUUCUCUUUCAGUGGAUAUCCCAAUAACAUCCCCAUUCACCUGGGAAUAAUUCUCUGCUUUGGGGCUGUCUCUUGAAAUCUCUCCUCCAGCAUUGCACUGCUGUCUUCCAUGGAGCACCAACUCUUUAUCGUAUUUCUGUUUCUGGGUGCUAUUUUCCAUCUCUCUCUGGUUUACAAGCCAUCCUCUGACUCCGUUCUACCUGUGACUACAUGCUGUUUUCUGAUAUCGUACUGUAUCAACAUGCCUUCCCUCUCCCUUCUCCACCAGCUUCAUCCGCUCAUCUAUCAUGCAUACCUACAUGAGUUCUGGAGCAUUUCAGUCAAGCUGUAGGUCCUGAGAUUCAUCAUUUCAUCCCUACCAUAGCUGGAACUGGAGAAAACGUUCACAUUUAAAGGCUGGUCAUUGAUGGGGCUUGUCUGUGAAUGUCUAUGUUGGCCAAAACGUUUCUACCAAGAUGCAAAGUAGAGCAUGGAUAUGUGAUCCACCUGGUCCCACACAGCCACCCACAGUCAGUACUGUAAAAAGUGCCCUCGCUGCCCUGUUGCUCUUUGAACUUGCUUGUGGUCACCAAGCCUGCUCCUGGAGGGCAGGAUGCUUUGCUAGGAGACAAGGACUGAUAGGGUUGAUGAUGGGCAUGGAGACCUAGGAUCCCUGUUCUUCAGUCAUCCCUGUCUACAUUCACAUCUGCCAUCUAACUCAUUAAUCUUUGCCAUGUCGUUAGUGACUGGCACUGCCCACCAGUCUGCAAAGGCUGUUGUAAGGUUGUAGUGUUGGUAUCACUACAAAGUGCUGGGAAUGAGUUACUAAAAAUUUGACUGAGGUCAAAGGAUGAGCAGGGAUGUUUCAUCUGCUGAUGUGUCAGCCCUUAUACAAACACAGCCUCUUGUUUCUCAGUGUCCUUUGGAUUUCGGGUUCUUUUAGAGCUGUGCCACUGCAGUGACCUUUUAGGAAGAUGUCUCUGCCACAGCUGGUACCUCUGGGCAGCCAGGGAGUAACCACCAAUCCCAACAGCACAUCGACACUGAAUGAAGAAGAGGAGAAGUAAAGAAAAGAAUUCCCUGGUGUGACUGUGAAGACACGACUGUGUUCAGCUCUAAGAACAUCUUAAAGAUUUUCUGCAUUGUUGCAAUAUAUGGUGAUGUGCAGACACCGACUUCAGCUCUCUUGGUAAGUUUAAUCCCAUUGGGGUUUUAACAGCCUAUUAUUGCCCUUAUUCACGUGAGCUUUCUGGGUGGGAAGUGAUUCCUCUGAUGUGGCUGGGUCUGCUCCCACACAGCUCUGAGCACUUCAGGCCUGGACAUCUUCUGUGGAGUGGGGAGAUUGCUUGUGACCAAUGUUAUUUUCUGUUGUAGGAUGCCCCGGAAACAGCUCCCUAAUAAUAAGGGCUGUCACGUGGAGGAGAUGUGAGCCCAAAGAUAAAAAGGAAGCCCCUUCAUAGAUGGAAGGCAUCUUCAUGCUCACUAAAAUGCCAGUUCUCCCUGCAGGAUGUCUGCUCCAUAGAAACCAACAGCACGGACCAGCUGCCAAAAAAUUGAUGGAUGAGGAGCAGUGAUGGACCUCAGGGGACCCCUGAAAAAAUCACUGGUGCUACAGACCAAGAACCAAGUACCUUAGUGCAGGAGCAAUGCACGUGAAGUUGAGCAGUUUCUUCCGAGUGGCGGUUGGAGCAAACAUAUAGUCUGCAUGAAAUGUGUAUCGUCUGGUUGGCAUACAAUAAACCUGAUGAGCAGAGCUGAACGAUAA